CCAAUAACGUAUAUUAAAGUUGUUGCAGUUAAAAAGCUCGUAGUUGAAUUUCGGGAUCAGUACGUUGGUCAUGCCUUGGUAUGUACUGGUGUAACUGAUUCCUCCCUUCUGACGAACCGUCAUGCCAUUAAUUUGGUGUGGCGGGAAAUCAGGACUGUUACUUUGAAAAAAUUAGAGUGUUUAAAGCAGGCUCGCGCUUGAAUACAUUAGCAUGGAAUAAUGAAAUAGGACGUUAAUCCUAUUUUGUUGGUUUCUAGGAUCGACGUAAUGAUUAAUAGGGAUAGUUGGGGGCAUUAGUAUUCAAUUGUCAGAGGUGAAAUUCUUGGAUUUAUUGAAGACUAACUACUGCGAAAGCAUUUGCCAAGGAUGUUUUCAUUAAUCAAGAACGAAAGUUAGGGGAUCGAAGACGAUCAGAUACCGUCGUAGUCUUAACCAUAAACUAUGCCGACUAGGGAUCGGAUGAUGUUAAUUUUUUAAUGACUCAUUCGGCGCCUUACG
Molecule: ribosomal RNA, 498 nt
Filed under: uncultured Glomeromycotina
Lineage: Eukaryota; Fungi; Glomeromycota
Description: partial small subunit ribosomal RNA
Rfam family: Eukaryotic small subunit ribosomal RNA
Source: RNAcentral